RNAcentral lists this long non-coding RNA (301 nucleotides) under Capra hircus (goat). RNAcentral's name for it is "lncRNA (ENSCHIG00010015128.1)". The record is from RNAcentral. Lineage: Eukaryota; Metazoa; Chordata; Mammalia; Artiodactyla; Bovidae.
UAACCAGAUAUUAGUAUGAUCAAGACAGAUGCAGACACAAUUCAGGAAUACGUUCCUAGGUACUAAAGUCUCCCCUUCUCUUUUUCCCUAGGAAACUGCUCGGAGAACUCAUGCAAGCGGAGCUUACAGUUUCCCUGAUCAGACUCAGCAUUCACCCGGGGCACAAAGAAGAGGGUCAUAAGCUGUGAGUGGAAGAAGUCAGAAAGCUAUAGAACAAAAAUAAUCAUCUAUUUAUCCUGUCCAUACUUCAGGUUAGUAUGCAAAGUUGUUGGUGACUUUGAGAAAUAAUUCAUACAGCACU